UAAAGCUUAGGUGGUGUUAUUCA
Molecule: non-coding RNA, 23 nt
Filed under: Arabidopsis thaliana (thale cress)
Lineage: Eukaryota; Viridiplantae; Streptophyta; Magnoliopsida; Brassicales; Brassicaceae
Source: RNAcentral